UCAGAGUUUGAUCCUGGCUCAGGGUGAACGCUGGCGGCGUGGAUAAGGCAUGCAAGUCGAACGCCCAGCCGUACUUUUGUCGGAAUGAAAUUUUCAUUGUUGCAAAAGUACGGCUGGGAGUGGCAGACGAGGUAGUAACACGUGGGAACCUACCCCUCUCUCGAGGAUAACUGCGGGAAACCGUAGCUAAUACUCGAUAGUCUCUCCGGAGUAAAGCUUUUGCGGAGAGGGAAGGGCCCGCGGGGUAUCAGCUUGUUGGUAGUGUAAUGGACUACCAAGGCUAUGACGCCUAGGGGAGGUGAGAGCCUGACCCCCACCGAUGGGACUGAGACACGGCCCAUACUCCUACGGGAGGCCGCAGUCGAGAAUCUUCCGCAAUGGACNNNNNNNNNNNNNNNNNNNNNNNNNNNNNNNNNCGGUAAUACGUGAGCCUCGAGCGUUACCCGGAUUUACUGGGCGUAAAGGGUGCGUAGGCGGUCAUAUUAGUCCCUUGUUAAAGCCCUCGGCUCAACCGAGGAAUCGCGGGGGAAACGGUAUGACUAGAGGAUGCGAGAGGUCUGUGGAACUCAUGGUGUAGGGGUGAAAUCCGUUGAUAUCAUGGGGAACACCGAAUGCGAAGGCAGCAGACUGGCGUAUUCCUGACGCUGAGGCACGAAAGCCAGGGUAGCGAAUGGGAUUAGAUACCCCAGUAGUCCUGGCCCUAAACGUUGUCCGCUAGUUUUUCGGAGUAUCGACCCUCUGGGAGACGAAGCUAACGCGUUAAGCGGACCGCCUGGGUAGUACGAGCGCAAGCUUAAAACUCAAAGGAAUAGACGGGGGCUCGCACAAGCGGUGGAGCGUGUGGCUUAAUUCGUAGCUAAGCGAAGAACCUUACCAGGGUUUGAAACCAUGACGAAAUCUCUGGGAAACCAGAGACCCCUUCGGGCGGCAUGGCAGGUGAUGCAUGGCUGUCGUCAGUUCGUGGCUUGAGCUGUUCCCUUAAGUGGGGAAACGAACGCAACCCUCGUUGCCUGUUACAAGUGUCAGGCGAGACUGCUCCCUCACGGGAGAGGAAGGUGAGGAUGACGCCAAGUCAGCAUGUCCCUUUGAUAUCCUGGGCUGCACACGCGCUACAAUGGGUGGUACAACGGGGCGCGACGCCGAGAGGCUGAGCAAAUCCUUAUAAAGCCAUCCCCAGUUCGGAUUGAGGUCUGCAACUCGACCUCAUGAAGUUGGAAUCGCUAGUAAUCGCAGGUCAGCAACACUGCGGUGAAUACGUUCUCGAGCCUUGUACUCACCGCCCGUCAACUCAAGGAAGCUGGGAGUACCCGAAGUUCGUCCUCGCGACGGCCGAAGGUAAAUUCAGUAACAGGGAGUAAGUCGUAACAAGGCACGGCUAGCGGAAGCUGGUCGUGGAUCA
Molecule: ribosomal RNA, 1399 nt
Filed under: Candidatus Kaiserbacteria bacterium CG10_big_fil_rev_8_21_14_0_10_49_17
Lineage: Bacteria; Candidatus Kaiseribacteriota
Description: 16S ribosomal RNA
Rfam family: Bacterial small subunit ribosomal RNA
Source: RNAcentral